This 503-nucleotide ribosomal RNA is filed under the name uncultured bacterium. RNAcentral's name for it is "partial 16S ribosomal RNA". It matches the Rfam family "Bacterial small subunit ribosomal RNA", at positions 30 to 523 of the family's 1533-position model. The record is from RNAcentral.
AUUGAACGCUGGCGGCAGGCUUAACACAUGCAAGUCGAGCGGGGUGAUGGUGCUUGCACUAUCACUUAGCGGCGGACGGGUGUGUAAUGCUUAGGAAUCUGCCUAUUAGUGGGGGACAACAUCUCGAAAGGGAUGCUAAUACCGCAUACGUCCUACGGGAGAAAGCAGGGGAUCACUUGUGACCUUGCGCUAAUAGAUGAGCCUAAGUCGGAUUAGCUAGUUGGUGGGGUAAAGGCCUACCAAGGCGACGAUCUGUAGCGGGUCUGAGAGGAUGAUCCGCCACACUGGGACUGAGACACGGCCCAGACUCCUACGGGAGGCAGAAGUGGGGAAUAUUGGACAAUGGGGGGAACCCUGAUCCAGCCAUGCCGCGUGUGUGAAGAAGGCCUUAUGGUUGUAAAGCACUUUAAGCGAGGAGGAGGCUCUUUUGGUUAAUACCCAAGAUGAGUGGACGUUACUCGCAGAAUAAGCACCGGCUAACUCUGUGCCAGCCGCCGCAGUAA